AAAGGAACAGUUUCGCCAGUGGACCCGACUUCAUCAGCAUCAGCAGCUGAGAGAAACUCUGCUCCAAACAAACCGUGACAUCGGUCGGUAACCGAGAGCGAUUUCAAACUUUCCACCAGAUGUUGGAACCCGGAUGCAGGGAUUUGCUCCCAUUCAGCCAUAAGAGCAUUAAUCAGGUCCUAGGGUCGGGCCGAUGGCUGACAGCCAUCAACCACCAUCGUAACAUUCUUUCAGACCGUGGUCGGGAAGCACAGGGAAGACUUUGUUUGAAGACAAGGGAACGUCUUGGGUACUGAGGAGCUGCAGCUUUAUUCAUGGGCAAACUGUAACCUACACUGUACAUUUACUGCCACUGGACAACUUCACUGCUAACCUUUCCCUCUGCUCCGAUUGCCAACACCUGUCUGGGAGAUAAGGCCUGGCUCGCAGGUGGCAUUCAUCCUGAGACGGGGAAACCCAGAAAACCAUUUCUUCAUGGACCCGCCUUGGACACUAAGUCAUAAUGACACCUUAAAAGUUGCCACAAAAGAUUGAAGCACACUAUUGUCUAAAAUCCCACUGUGUGUUGUAGCAUUAAGAUUCCCCCACAGUGGAACUAAGGGGCCUAGCCAAAACCACAUGACCAAAAGUACACCAAAGUGUGUGUAUAGCACUGCCUCACACUUUUAGACUACACUUACACUUUCAGUUAGGCUAAAUGAGAAAUCAAAUCAUACACAACCAGCCAUGACAACAAUCAAAAUCAUAUACAGUAUGUAUGAAGGCUACUGUUCCAUUAUGCAUAUAAUAGGUCUAUUUCUUUUGUUUGUUGGAGGGAAAUACUGGACAGAUGGAAAUAUAUUGAGAGGAACCAGGCACUGUCAAUAAAUGUGUUCUAAGAUGUUUUUUGUCAAGUUCUCAUAUUGGUCUUUGAUAUUCAGAAACCAUUUGGGCCAAACUUCAGAACCCUUUUACUAAAUGGUGUUUGUUUUAUGUAUUUUUCAUCACAGCCAUUUUCUCAGAAUUUGGAUUUCACCUGUACAGAUCUCCACUAAACACUCAAAAUAUACUCCCUCAGAAGCGCCGUUUGGACAGGGAGGGUCUGUGCCGUACAGUUCUAGCAACCUUUAGAAACCGAAAAUACGACAGUCCUGCCUACUUCCUGCAGCAAUUGGCCAGGUGUGCACAGGUGUGAAAAUGGGAACAGCUCCAAGCACUCCAACUCAAAUUCAUUUCUCUUCAUUCCUUACAUAUUUCCUCCACUGUCCGUGUUUACUGCUCAGUCACAUCAAUCACCUCAGUUUUGGCAGCAAUGCAGGUGGUGUACUUUAAAAGAAGAGACAGGAGGAGUGCGACCGAAAAACAGAUCAAGUUCUGAACACGCACAGAUGCUCCUACACCUCCACUCCGCUAUUUUGACCCGCGGUGCCGCAACUGCCACUGAUCACACACCAUGAAAAAAUGAGACUCCCUGCAUGCUCACAACUUUUCAGUGUUAGAUGGAGCACAAUGUGAUCUUAUGAGAGAGUUUAUUUGACCUUAAAGCUUUUAUUGAAUUCAUGAGUUCUGGGCUCUUUGAAAGUGAAAUGUUCACUUUUAUUUUUCAAAUUUGGUUAUUUUGCAAACCAUGUAACAUUUAAAGAACAGUUUCAUUAGAUGUUACUUGUUUUAUCAUAUUAUAAUCAAAUAUUCUUCACUAUAAAAUCAGUAAAUCCAGCAGAAUGGGAAUUUCUUUGUUCUUAAUCCAGUUUGAAUUAAAACUUAAACUACCAUUUAUUCACAUCAA
Siniperca chuatsi (mandarin fish) is the source of this 1765-nucleotide long non-coding RNA. RefSeq lists it as uncharacterized. NCBI's taxonomy places the organism in Eukaryota, Metazoa, Chordata, Actinopteri, Centrarchiformes, Sinipercidae. The transcript is spliced from 3 exons. The record is from RefSeq and is a predicted model, not a curated record.